This 449-nucleotide long non-coding RNA is filed under the name Monodelphis domestica (gray short-tailed opossum). RNAcentral's name for it is "lncRNA (ENSMODG00000030510.2)". The record is from RNAcentral. Lineage: Eukaryota; Metazoa; Chordata; Mammalia; Didelphimorphia; Didelphidae.
UGAAGACAAGACAGGGAAGAUGGAGAAGAAAGAGGAGAGGGACGGGGUUCAAGCCUUUUCCCCUAAGUGUGUCACUGAGUCUUGACUGUCUGACUCCUUGGGAGGCUUGGAGUGUGGGCUGGGUGCCUGCUGAGGCAGGAGCCUGGGCUCUGGGGGCCGCAGGAACGGGCUGGCUUGAACCCGGGCCAGGAAGUUUUCAUCUAAAAUUGAUUAGGACUUGGAACAUUCCUUCUCAAACAAAUUGUAUUCUGAUGACUUGGACACUCCCUCACAGCUGGAGAGCCAGGAAGCCAAGCUGGGCCUUUGUUCCCUCUUUAGAAACCAACCAUCCCACAGUGACCUCUGUGGAGAGUGCAGGGUCCAGUCUUGAGGGCCGAAAGCUUUUCUGCGAUGCUCUCCAUCCUUUUAUUUCAGGAAAUAAAACGAAGACCAAUGGGUGGGAGCUGUGA